GACGAACGCUGGCGGCGUGCCUAAUACAUGCAAGUUGAGCGCUGAAGGUUGGUACUUGUACCAACUGGAUGAGCAGCGAACGGGUGAGUAACGCGUGGGGAAUCUGCCUUUGAGCGGGGGACAACAUUUGGAAACGAAUGCUAAUACCGCAUAAAAACUUUAAACACAAGUUUUAAGUUUGAAAGAUGCAAUUGCAUCACUCAAAGAUGAUCCCGCGUUGUAUUAGCUAGUUGGUGAGGUAAAGGCUCACCAAGGCGAUGAUACAUAGCCGACCUGAGAGGAUGAUCGGCCACAUUGGGACGGAGACACGGCCCAAACUCCUACGGGAGGCAGCAGUAGGGAAUCUUCGGCAAUAGACGAAAGUCUGACCGAGCAACGCCGCGUGAGUGAAGAAGGUUUUCGGAUCGUAAAACUCUGUUGGUAGAGAAGAACGUUGGUGAGAGUGGAAAGCUCAUCAAGUGACGGUAACUACCCAGAAAGGGACGGCUAACUACGUG
RNAcentral lists this ribosomal RNA (497 nucleotides) under uncultured bacterium. RNAcentral describes it as "partial 16S ribosomal RNA". It matches the Rfam family "Bacterial small subunit ribosomal RNA", at positions 28 to 507 of the family's 1533-position model. The record is from RNAcentral.